RNAcentral lists this non-coding RNA (71 nucleotides) under uncultured Gordonibacter sp. Its description in RNAcentral is "Fluoride riboswitch". It matches the Rfam family "Fluoride riboswitch aptamer (crcB RNA motif)", at positions 10 to 58 of the family's 64-position model. The record is from RNAcentral. Lineage: Bacteria; Bacillati; Actinomycetota; Coriobacteriia; Eggerthellales; Eggerthellaceae.
GCGGGAAUGAAGUUCUCCCUAAGCUGGCUUGGGCCAGUUUGAACCGCUGAUAAAGCUGAUGACUUCUGCAU